GAUGAACGCUAGCUACAGGCUUAACACAUGCAAGUCGAGGGGCAGCGCAGUGUAGCAAUACAUGGGCGGCGACCGGCGCACGGGUGCGUAACGCGUAUCCAACCUUCCCGUUACUCUUGGAUAGCCUUCCGAAAGGGAGAUUAAUACAAGAUGGUAUUCAAAUUCCGCAUGUUAUUUGAAUUAAAGAUUCAUCGGUAACGGAUGGGGAUGCGUGACAUUAGAUAGUAGGCGGGGUAACGGCCCACCUAGUCUACGAUGUCUAGGGGUUCUGAGAGGAAGGUCCCCCCACACUGGAACUGAGACACGGUCCAGACUCCUACGGGAGGCAGCAGUGAGGAAUAUUGGUCAAUGGUCGGAAGACUGAACCAGCCAAGUAGCGUGAAGGAUGAAGGUUCUAUGGAUUGUAAACUUCUUUUAUACGGGAAUAAAACCUCCACGUGUGGGAGCUUGUAUGUACCGUAUGAAUAAGCAUCGGCUAACUCCGUGCCAGCAGCCGCGGU
Molecule: ribosomal RNA, 500 nt
Filed under: uncultured bacterium
Lineage: Bacteria
Description: bacterial SSU rRNA
Rfam family: Bacterial small subunit ribosomal RNA
Source: RNAcentral